CGAGCUUGGCUGUUUUCUCAACCCCUCCCUUCGAGCUUCACUUCUGUUUGAGGAAAGAUAAUGGCAGCUGACUGGUGUGUCUCUCGGACUCCCAGGUAGGUGUAGGCCUCAAGCCUCGGCCUCAAUUUAUAUCCUCCCGCUCCAGACUGGUUCUACGCAAGUCCGCUGCCUCUCAGACUCCCAGGUGGACUCAAGGAAUACUUGAGAGUAUUCUAUUCCAGCAUGUAGAGCAGCUUACAUUCACUUCCGGCUGUGGACUGGCUCUGGACUACAAAAAGGCUGCUGUCUUCUUUCUCAAGCAAUUGAUCCUUCUCUUCUCAAAGCAAAACCAAAACCCACUUUUUAAAACACGGUCUUCCGGGCAUGGCUUGUUUUUCAGAGCCAUAAAAACCAUGUGACCCCUCCUCUUUGUAGGGUCCACUAGGGUCACAAGGUUUUCAGCCUUUAUUUCCAACUGUUUAAUUACCCUUGUAAAAGGAUGCUUUUUUCAGAAAUAGCAAUCUGAGUCCUGUAUUAACCCUAUAAGGAACAGCAUCUUUUAAAACACAAAUUAUUCCAGAAUGUCUUUAGU
Carcharodon carcharias (great white shark) is the source of this 571-nucleotide long non-coding RNA. RefSeq lists it as uncharacterized. The transcript has 3 exons. The record is from RefSeq and is a predicted model, not a curated record. Lineage: Eukaryota; Metazoa; Chordata; Chondrichthyes; Lamniformes; Lamnidae.